GCCCUUGUAGCUCAGUGGUAGAGCGCUUCACUCGUAGCCUGAGUCAUCAAUUGACCCGAAAUCAUUGGUACUCUCCGAUAAAGCGAUAUGAAGAGGUCCGCGGUUCAAUCCCGCGUGGGGGCA
Non-coding RNA from Aspergillus alliaceus, 123 nucleotides. The record is from the annotation of a RefSeq genome assembly. NCBI's taxonomy places the organism in Eukaryota, Fungi, Ascomycota, Eurotiomycetes, Eurotiales, Aspergillaceae.